This 3304-nucleotide long non-coding RNA is filed under the name Penaeus japonicus. RNAcentral's name for it is "uncharacterized LOC122242295, transcript variant X3". The record is from RNAcentral. Lineage: Eukaryota; Metazoa; Arthropoda; Malacostraca; Decapoda; Penaeidae.
AUUUCAGACCAGCAUGUGGAGUCUGCUGCACAACCUUUUGCAACUUGAACUGUCCUUACCCUACAGUAAAAAAGAUGGGCUGAGAGAGGCAGCUGUCAGUCUUCAUAACCCAAAGCCAGAUGAAGUUAGAUGUUGAUGGAGUGAUCUUUUCCACAGAAUGAAGUGGAGGCAUGGACAAUUCUUUCAUCCUCAACCACAGCUGUGGCAACCUGAGAGAACAAGACGAAUGGGAUCCUGUUUCAAUUGCACAUUCCAGAGAAAGAUCAUCGGAACAUGGCAGGAGGAGCAGAAGAGAUGAAAUACCAGGGUUGGAGGGAAUCGAGACUUGAUGGCUUCUUUUCCUUUUAUGCACAGGUUUUUUGGUUCCUGAAGAAUUCUGGGCGGUCCACAGUAAUUUCAAGACUACAAACUUUGUGCAUAGUCCGUGUUCCAAGAAUUUGAGUAGUGAAUGUAUAGGUUUGCAGCCACUGGGAAAAGGUCACAGUGGAACUGCAAAAGAGAACCUACAAUAGAGAGGUGCAACUGAAGAACAGAGGCCUUAAUCUCCUAACGUUACCAAAGGGAUUGAAGAGAAAUUGCUGAACAAUGUUUUUUACAGAUUCAGUGACUAUAGAGCCAGGGAAAGGACUGGAGAUCCAGCAGUGGAAAUGCAAGAAAGAGCCUCCAGUGGAAUGAGAACUUGAGAAGGUAAUAAAAUGAUAAACUAUCUAAAAUGUGAAAUUAAUAGGAAAUUGGUUAAAUAAACAAAUUUUUAAAUUGUAAUAAAUUCUAUUUAUGGAAUGAGGUUCUUGAAAUUUGAGAGCUUAUUGAUACAUGAUUAUUUUGUACAGAUCAUGUCUCUUUACCAAAUGAUGUUAAAUUUCAGUUAAGUCUUUGUAGUAUUCUCUGUGAUUUCCUACUAUUAACUCAUUCACAACGGGGAUAUUUAGGCUUUAAAUGGUCGGAAUGCCGGGGUCUUCAAACGCAUAAGCCUAACGCCUCGGGAUUCUCGGGUGCACUAGCCACGAGCGAGCGUUGUACGCCCUAUCACCCGACGUGCCAGCCUUUACUAAAUAUCUCAUUGCCGGUGUCUGACCCAAAAACCACUAAUUGUGAUAGCAAGUCAGCCAGCGCGAAUGGGUUAAAAACUGCAUUUCCUGCUAAAAUAUUCUGAGGACAGGAUAUCAUGUCACCUGGCAUGAAUGGGUUAACAAGGUUAGAUAUGUUUAGAUAUUCCACUUAAUGAAGAAAGUGGGUCUUUCUUAAGUGAUGAUGUUCAAGCAGAAAAAAUAUCCUUUCAUGUAUGAUAUUUCCAAGUUUUCUUUCCAGGUAUAAUGUGUUAUAUUUGUUUUGUAUUAUUUAUGUCCAUAUGUAAUUUUACAUACAUAUAUAUUAUUGUAUAUUAUAUAUAUUUGUUUUCAUUAUUGAUUUUGAUGUUCACAUUUAGAUUUGUAAUGUAGAAUUAGUAUUACUAAUUGCAUGUGCAUGUACAUCCAAUUAAUAUUGCAUGUGAAAAGUGAGUAUAUGAUUAAAAUUAAGCUUGCUAAAAUCUUGUUAAAAUGUAGUUGGAAUAGUGUUAUAGUCAAAUAAUCCCCCCCCCCCUCCCCACUCCCUGUGCUGUGCAUGUGUUGCACAUACUUGUACAAACCUCAUCUAUGGAAGCUAAUGCAAGUUCAACUUGGAAAAGUCUUCAUCCUGGCAGAGCUGGAGGAGCAGGAGAGGCUAUUUCCAGGGAAGGGAGGCCACUCAAGGGGACGAAUGAGGCUGGAUGGCCUAGAUUCUUUGUGUACAGAAAGCUCAGGCAUCAGAGAGGAUUGCUGUCACUUGGGAAAGAAUGGAGGAGUUGAGGAAGCGGCAUUGGAGAAAUGGUCCAAGAUUUGUCUUGGCACUGCAGAGAUGCUGCAGAGGAACAGAGGCCUUAACCUAAUACCAUUAACAAAGGGACUGACGAGAAAUUUCUGAACAGUUUUAAACAAAUGCAGUGAGGUAAAGAGACCGGGAAAGGACUGGAGAUCCAGCAGUGGACAUGCAAGAAAAUUUCCAGUGGAAGGAGAUGCUUAGAAGGUUGAAGGCUAGAAAAGCUUCCAUGGCUCAACAGACAAGUGUGCCCUGGUUAGCAGGAAGCGAGAUGCUGCUUGUGCUUCUUUCACAGUCGGUGGAAAUGGCCGACAUAGGCUUUCUUUGUUCCCAUGCAUCUGACGGGUCUAGAGGAGGAGCAGCAUAGCCAAAAAAGCCAAAAUCCAUAAAGUGGAGUCAGGCAACAGUGGGGCUGGAGAGGUCAGAAGGCUGGACUGCUUUAAGCUCUUUUGUUGCAGAACAUGACAGGAGGAGCAGAAGAGGAACAUUGCAUGGACAGAUGACACACCAGGGUUGGAGGGAAUCAGGGCUUGAUGGCUUCUUGUCCUCUUAUGCACAGGUUCUUUGGUUCUUGAAGAAAUCUGGGCGACCACAGUAUUUCAAGACUACAAACGUUGUGCAGAGUCAAGGUUCCAAAGAUCUGAGCAGUGAAUGGAUGGGUUUUUCAGCCACUGGGAAAAUGUUGCAGUGGUUUUGCAAAAGAGAACAUAGAAUAAGAGACCAGAUUGGAAUUUUCUGCAAAACUCGGUAGCAUGAAUUGGCUGCACCAAGUUGGGGGAAGGUAAACAUAAACUGUUGGACUGAACCUGGAGACUACUAUUAUGAAUGUAAGUACAAACAUCCCUUUGAUUUUUAUCAUUUGAUGAGUCUCACAAGUAUAUCUCAUAGGCAAGCAUAAAAAUAUUCUGACAGUUCGAAAUUUUCAGCUGUUUCUCAAUGGAUAAUCAGUUUCUUUAUUUUUUAGUGAUGUUUGAGCAACAAAAUAUGAAAAGUAUAAGAUGCCUGAUACAGUUUCAUGAUCUUGUCAUAUAUGGUAUUACAUCUCAUUUCUUAUUCAAAAUUUUGGUUUUAUAUUUAUGGAAAUAUAAACCCCCCAAAAAUAAAAUCUUUCUUUUUCAGUGUUCAUGUGUAGAAUUGUAUCAUAGGCCUAGUAGUACUAACUGCAUGUGCAUGUAUAUCCAAUCAAUAUUGCAUAUGAAAUCUGAGUAGAUGAUUGAAUAACCUCACUAAAUCUUACUAAAAGCUUAGUUAUAGUGCUGUCCAUUUGUAACCUCCCACCCCUCUCUCUCCCUAAGUUGCUCUUGAGUUGCAGUGUCUUCAGGCUGCAAGGGUUGAGGAGUGCCAAUGCACAGCAGAUGGAAGAGAAGUAAUUACCUGCUGAUGACAAAGACAGACAUGCAUGACUACCAGGAAAACUGCCAAGAGAAAGAGGAAGGAAAGCAUGGAAUGUGCUCCAAAGGCAGCAGGU